UCUCAGUUCAAAGCCCCUCCCUCUUUGCUUUCCAACUCAAAGAAGAAAACUCUGUUUCCAGACAGGGUGCUCAGAAGACCCACACAGGCUAAACCUACGUGACACCAAAACAACUGCAUGGAAUGUAUAGGGAAGAAGCAGAUGUUUCUCCUUUGGGACAGCAGGUGCCUUAGCAAAGCCUUAGGGCUCAAGCCAGAAGAGGAAAGAAGAAAAGGGUUCCUUCUGUGAUCCUAGAAACGACAUUCUGCCAAGUCCUUUAAUUUCAUUGUGACAAAGGUCUCCACAUUCCACACCACCACCUUCUAGGGGAAGGGACUGUCCCAUGGAAGAAGGUCUAUAUGAAUGACCUUCUGCUAACACCCAAGGGGAAUUGGUCUGUAGGGGCACUCUAAAAACAGCACCCAGCUCCCCUCUUGCACCCCAUCUUCUACCUGAUAAGAGACAGGGAGUACAUCCCAUCCCAUCAGUAAGGAAAUUUGCAGUGUUAAGCAAUGCCUUUCAGGCCCCGAGCUUGCCACACGAAGAAUUUCUUCCCUGGAACCAUACAGUAGCCCGAGACAGAAGUGAAGGCUUCCUUUCAGAUUGGAGGUUUGAAGAGAAAGAUAGGAUUCAGACACAGAGAGCUAAAGCACAGGUGAUCCAAUCUGCCUUCUCCGGGUUCCCCAGCUUUUUAGCUCCCUGGGUUAGAAGUUUAUAGGGAUUCUGGAUCUGUGGUUUCCUAUGGUCGCUUUUACAGAUCUUGUUAAUUUAUUACCCAUGGUUACACUUUUAAUGGAAAUCAUGAAGAAAUGGCAAAGGAAACAUGAGCUAAUUUUUUUUUCCAGUGACACAUUUCACUGCUAUUUAAAUAGCCAUUUUGCCAAACCAAACACAGCUCUUACAGCCAGCGGUGACACAUAAAGGGGAUCACUGUGGCUGACUGGGCCUGUGGCCUCCAGAGCAGGCGAGACUUUCUCUCAGCUUCCCCAGGGAUGGAUGCCAAAGAGGGUGGAGUGACCCAGAGUCAGUGACCACUGCCUCCACCUUCCUCAGGCAAGGUUGAGGGUCCACUCCUGAUCCCCUGAGAGGUUCUGGGGUGACCAUGCCCCCUCUUCAGCCUUGAUAACCCCUCCCCUCGCCGCCCCAAGCGCUGUGGCUGAGCAGCCCCGCAGUACAGCAGAAUUUGCUCACGCCUAUAACUGGGAACAUUACUGGGUUGUAUGAAACCAGAGAGAGAUGCUGGGGAAACCCAGGCUCACUUCAUUCCAGUUCUGUGGCAGCCGUGACAGCCUUGCUGUGGCCACACUUGCACAGGGCUCCUUUGUUGGGCAAACCAGAGCCUCUGCCUUCUCCUACUCAAAACAACCUCUAACUUGGGCCUCUGAUACCCUCCCACCCUACUUUAGGGGAGUGGGUGCGGGGGAUGUGAUGUCACCAAGCGUUUAUUAACUUCUCAAGAAGCUGGCUGAGAUCAUGGUACUUAGUGAGAGGGAUUCCAGGACUUGGGGUGCUGUAGCAGAGAGAACAAAUCCAUUGAGUUUCUGGCCAUGACUGGAUAAAAGAACAGGAAUGAUGGCCAGAUGCUCGAAGAGCAACAGUUAGAACCUCCCAGAUUAUAAUAUGCAGUUCGAGUAAGGGAAGCCAAGGGGCUGAGAGUAUGCUUUGGAGACCUAAAGUCAGUUGCCUAAGUUCGGGGGAUCCACCAGAACCCAGUGACAUCCCCAUUGUCUCUAGUCGGGAAAGGCACUCCAAGAAGGGGCCAUAGAAAAGCAAACAACUUUCUGGAGGGAGCCAGCCACUCAAGACAGCACAAUCCUGAAUGGAUUUCUGCCCCACUCUGGCUGCAGAAAAAUCUGGCUAUUUCUUGGAGGCGUUCUGUGCCUUCAUGUCCUGAUGGGUGUCCAGGUGGGCACAGCAGAGAACAGCUAUGCCAGAAUACAGGCAGCAGGCACACUGGCAUGUCAGGGGAAAGCAGUUUCCCUCCGUUUUCCCAAGGAGAACCCCACUUCAGUGAGACUUGAGAGAAGUUAACUGUCAUCCCCUUCCUUGCCAAAAAAGAAUAUUAAAUUCACUGACCACAUUUUUCCAAACCGAAGUGCGGAGGCCAUUAGAUCAAUGCUCAGGCUUGGGCUCUAGUAUGCCAGGCACCCCACACGUUUCACUUUGCAUUAUUAACAUUUAAACCAAAGCAGCUGUGCUCAGCCCUCUUAGAGCCCAGAACCUGCCCAAGGCCCCCACGGUGACUUUUCUCAGGGGCCAAAUGCACCAGCUAGCCAGCCCACCAGUGACCCCAUGCCUUUGGCCUUCUGGAGUAAAUUUCUCCAGUAGCCAGCCACUCCUUGAUGACAUUUCUGAGAGUUCUUUUGAGCCAGGGGGACUGUUGGUGGAUCCUGAUCAAGCGUGCCUGAAAGUCCUCAAGGGAACUAACAGGGUUUACGGCCACCGAACUGUGUCUGUUGCUGGCAGCUGGCUCUCUGGGCUGCUUGAGUCGAGCCACCAUGCCUAUCCGCGCUCUGUGCACUAUCUGCUCCGACUUCUUUGGUCACUCCCGUGAUGUGGCUGCCAUCCACUGCGGCCACACUUUUCAUCUGCAAUGCCUAAUCCAGUGGUUUGAGACAGCACCAAGUCGGACCUGCCCACAGUGUAGAAUCCAGGUUGGCAAAAAGACUAUUAUCAACAAGCUUUUCUUUGACCUGGCUCAGGAAGAGGAGAGUGUCUUGGAUGCAGAAUUCUUAAAGAACAAACUGGACAGUAUCAGAGCCCAGCUUUCCCAGAAAGACAGGGAGAAACGGGACAGCCAGGCCAUUAUCGACACUCUACGGGACACGUUGGAAGAAUGCAAUGCCACUGUGGAGUCCCUGCAGAACGCCUUAAACAAGGCAGAGAUGCUAUGUUCCACCCUGAAAAAACAGAUGAAGUUCCCGGAGCAGCAGCAGGAUGAGACCAAACAAGCUCGGGAAGAGGUCCACCAACUCAAGAGCAAGAUGAAAACCAUGGAGCAAAUUGAGCUCCUACUCCAGAGCCAGCGGUCUGAGGUGGAAGAGAUGAUUCGAGACAUGGGUGUGGGACAGUCUGCAGUGGAGCAGCUGGCUGUGUACUGCGUGUGCCUCAGGAAAGAGUAUGAGAAUCUGAAGGAAGCUUGGAAGGCCUCAGGGGAGCUGGCUGACAGGUUGAAGAAGGAUUUGGCAUCCUAUAAGAGCGAGUUGAAGACUCUCAACACUAAGCUGGAUCAGACCAAGUUAGAACUGAAGUCAGCCCAGAAGGACUUACAGAGCGCUGACAAGGAGAUCACCAGCCUAAGAAAGAAGCUAAUUAUCCUGCAGGAAACCUUGAGCCUGCCUCCAGUGACCAGUGAGACAGUCAGCUGCCUGGUUUUUGAGAGCCCAGCCCCUGUGGAGACGCUAACACCAAGGCUUCACCGGCCUCCCUUUAGUGACGAGAUUGAUCUCAAUGCUACCUUUGACGUCAGUACCUCUCCAGCCCAGACCUCCAGCUCCCAGCAUUGCUUCCCCAAGAAGCCCUACCUGGACAGGGCACACUCUCCCGUGCAGGACAUUCUCAAGAAGGUGCCCAAAGUCUCCAAGCUGGAGUCCCAGCUCUCACUGGGUGGCCAGCGAUGUAUAGGAGAGCCAGAUGAGGAACUGUCUGGUGCCUUCCCUCUCUUCAUCCGGAGUGCUCUCCGGGGUCAGAAACAGCCCAACAGGACCACAGCAGAAUCCCGUUGCAGCACAGAUGUGGUAAGAAUAGGCUUCGAUGGGCUUGGAGGAUGUACAAAAUUCAUCCAGCCUAGGGACACAGCCAUUAUCCAACCAAUGCUUGUUAAGCCCAAGGCCAAGAGUAAACAGAAAGUGAGAAUAAAGACUGUGAAUUCUACCUCCCAGCCCAAGCUGGAUACCUUCUUAUGUCAGUGAACAGUGACCAGAGUUGUGUCUGCAGUUAGUGAGCCAAGACCUGGCCAACCGGAAGUGUUUUGGAAGAUGGCUUCUCUUGGACCAGACAAAGAGUGGUGCCCAGGAAACACACUUCCUGUGUUCACGGCACCCUGCACCAUACUUGGAAACCACGUGAGCAGCUUACCCUUCCGAUCAGCAGGACCUGCUUCCAGUUGCAGGGUUUUAUUUAUAGCUACAACCAGGUGUGUGGCUGGGCUCCUUCUGUUUUUAUCGAACAGGGUCACAUUGACUCUAAGUGGAUGGAAAUGCUGGAGGAUUCCUGAGCAGGCUAGCUUGAACUUCUGCCUGCCUCCAGCUUAUUGCUUGAAAUAUGGGAGUGGGGAGGUGAUAGGAAAAGGAUGGGGAAGUUUUCUGUAUAAAAUAAAAAGGCGUCUUUUCUUC
This is an RNA transcript of Mastomys coucha (southern multimammate mouse), 4313 nucleotides long. It is a transcript of the gene named E3 ubiquitin-protein ligase TRAIP pseudogene, with no coding region annotated. NCBI's taxonomy places the organism in Eukaryota, Metazoa, Chordata, Mammalia, Rodentia, Muridae. The record is from RefSeq and is a predicted model, not a curated record. The transcript has 3 exons.